RNAcentral lists this long non-coding RNA (796 nucleotides) under Gallus gallus (chicken). RNAcentral's name for it is "lncRNA (ENSGALG00010004180.1)". Lineage: Eukaryota; Metazoa; Chordata; Aves; Galliformes; Phasianidae. The record is from RNAcentral.
CUCCUAGACCCCAUUUAAGGGCUGAGUGCCAUUGAAGAAGGGUCUCUUUCUGGAGAUUGCUCCUCUUGGAGUUUUUAUUGUGAGCCUAUGAUGCAGGUGUUCUUGCACAGUGUGCAGUGAAGCAAGAGAUGUAAUUCCACAGAGGAUUUCAAGGGACUAAUUCCAAGAGCAAAAGGCAAGAUUAUAACAAACUAUCUCAGCAGAUAUUUACAGGCAUUUCUUAGACAACAAUGAAAAGAUGAAAAUAAAAAAGAUCGUUGGAAACCUAGUAAAGUAAGGUUGGCAUCAUUGAUACAGCAGAGGUGGUUGUGAACCUGAAAUUUGCUUGCAGCAGGAGGGACUUUGCUCGCACAAAAAUUUAGCUUUUUAAUAGCCAAAGGAAAUCUGUUUUUCUUGGUGUCUGGGAGGGAAAAAAAACUUAUAUGGAAAGCAGCAAUGAAGCUUCAAAAGUGUUAGUACUUAAAUGUAUUUUAGUUGAUAAUUUGCUUGGAGAGAUCUCCUGCUGUGGAGCUGUUUCUUCUUUCUUGAUUACACCUAUGUUAUGAAAAUUCAUACUGUAAAUUCAUUGUAAAUAAAUAAAAUUGUUUUUUCAUUUAAAAACACAUCUUUAUUUCUUCAUUUCUCCUCAUUAAGGAAAUACUCAUUGGUGCCAACAUUUUGACAAAGCAUUCAAACUGAGAAGAGAUUAUGUAGAAUAGUGAAAAGAAAAAGAAAAUGAUUUUUUUCGUCAGCAUAGAUAAUAUUAGCACAAGAGUAGUCAUAUAGUCAGAAAGAUGUAUGACUUAAUUUAAAGGAC